Molecule: long non-coding RNA, 4996 nt
Organism: Nicotiana attenuata
Lineage: Eukaryota; Viridiplantae; Streptophyta; Magnoliopsida; Solanales; Solanaceae
Exons: 3
Source: RefSeq, a predicted model, not a curated record
AAGAAAAAUUAUCAACUGCCCCUAUAAUUGUGUCCCCUGAUUGGAACCAACCUUUUGAGGUCAUGUGUGAUGCUAGUGAUACAGCAGUUGGAGCUGUUUUAGGCCAAAGAAAAGAUAAGAUUUUUCGUCCAAUUUACUAUGCCAGCAGGACAAUGAAUGGGGCUCAACUAAAUUAUGCCACGACUGAGAAAGAACUACGAGCAGUGGUAUUUGCAUUUGAUAAGUUUCGUUCCUAUCUGAUAGGAACCAAGGUCACUGUUUUUACUGAUCAUGCGGCUCUAAAAUACCUCUUAGCAAAAAAAGAUGCGCGACCUAGAUUGUUAAGAUGGAUUUUACUUCUCCAAGAAUUUGAGCUUGAAAUAAAAGAUAAAAAGGGAACAGAGAAUCAGGUAGCUGACCAUUUGUCUAGAUUAGAGAACCCCCACUUGAGUUAUGUGAUAUAAAAGAAGAGUUUCCUGAUGAACAUAUUUUUUCUAUCAACUCAGUUGUGACUCAACCACCCUGGUUUGCAGAUAUUGCAAAUUACUUGGUUAGAAAAUGGACACCCCAAAAUCUCACUUACCAACAGAGGAAAAAGUUAUAUCUGAUGCUAAAUACUAUUUGUGGGAUGACCCUUAUUUAAAAUUUGUGCAGAUAAUAUUAUCAGAAGAUGUGUACCAGAAGAAGAAAUGACCAAAAUUUUGUAUCAGUGCCACGAUGGAGCAGUUGGAGGACACUAUGCAGCAAAUCGAACUGCCUUUAAAGUUCUAGAGGUUGGAUUUUUCUGGCCAACACUUUUUAAGGAUGCUCGUGCCUACGUUGCACAGUGUGACAGGUGUCAAAGAACAGGCAAUAUCACUAAGAGAGAUGAGAUGCCAUUGCAAUCAAUACAGGUAUGUGAAAUAUUUAAUGUUUGGGGGAUAGAUUUCAUGGGUCCUUUUCCUUCAUCUCAUUCUUUUGAAUAUAUCCUUGUGGCUGUGGAUUAUGUUUCAAGAUGGGUUGAAGCCAUCCCAACAAGGAAAAAUGAUACUCAAACUGUGUGCAAUUUUCUUAAGAAAAAUAUUUUUACCAGGUUUGGUACACCACGAGUUAUCAUUAGCGACCAAGGGUCUCAUUUCAUGAAUAGACAAUUUUCAGCAUUAUUGUCAAAAUAUGGUGUGACUCACAAAACAGGAACACCAUAUCAUGCUCAAACAAAGGGCAAGUUGAGGUUUCUAACCGCGAAUUAAAACGAAUACUUGAAAAAACGGUUGGAAUCUCCAAAAAAGACUGGGCUUCAAAAUUAGAUGACACACUGUGGGCAUAUCGAACGACGUUUAAAACGCCAAUUGGUACGUCUCCAUAUCGAUUAGUCUUUGGAAAAGCUUGUCAUCUUCCAGUUGAAUUAGAACACAAAGCCUUUUGGGCAUUGAAAGCAUUGAACUUUGAUUUAACCCCUGCUGGUAAAAAUAGAUAUUCUCAGGUGAAUGAAUUGGAAGAACUCAGAUUAGAAGCCUAUGAAAAUGCCAAAAUUUUUAAAGAAAAAAAAAAACGGCACGACAAUUUAAUCCGACAGAAAACUUUUAAAAUUGGAGAUCAUGUACUUCUAUACAACAGUAGACUCAUGUUAUUUCCAGGAAAAUUAAAAUCAAGGUGGACGGAUCCUUACAAUGUUACAGAUGUUACUCCAUACGGAGCAAUUGAAAUUCAACAAACCAAUGGAGGAGACAAAUUUAAGGUAAAUGGUCACAGGUUAAAAUUAUAUUUUGGAGGGCAUUUUGAGCAACAACCAUCUGUCACUUUGAUAGAUUGAUGAAGUCUGCAAUUAAUAAGUCGAGCUGGCGACGUUAAACUCAGAACUAUGGUUCCUUACCCGUAGCCAUUGAGGGUGAAGCAAUGGAGCCUCAUAAGUCCAACAUAGAUUUAAAUAGUUAAAUGCUUAAUCAAUUGAUCUGGUUAAUAUCCAGGUUAUUGUACAACCAGAACAUCUCAUGAAGGCCUCUACAAAAACAGAGUCACCUAUACAGGAGUAACUCCAUGGUGAUCGGUAUGCCUAAGUAACUGGUUGGUUAACCAUUUAAUAAUGUAAUUCAUAUGUUGGCACAGGUAAUUUUCUAGUUUAUAUACAAACUAGACUUGUUAUUUAUACGCAAAAGGAAAAAGAAUACAUGGAAAAAGAGAAAAAGAAAGAUCUACGGUUCAAGGAAGAAGGAUGCAUCCGUGACAACUUCAUCUAAGACUUUAUAAAAUCAAGAGAUACAAAAGUUAUGGCAAAUUCUCACCAAAAUUUCAUGACAAAUUGCCAUGUCAAUUUCUCAUCAAGGCCAUAUGAUAUAUUAAUAUUAUAUUGCAAUUUCUCACCAAGGCCUUGUAGGAAUUUUCCUAUAAAUAGCCAUAUGUUUGUAGAAGAAAGGGCAUCCCUCUUUGUAUCCAAUUUUCUAUUUAGUUUUUUUCUAAGUUUCUAAAGAGAAAGAGAAGAGUAAUCUUGGUCUCUUCCUCUAAUAUUUCUCUUUGUAGUAAAAAUAUUCUUAGUCUUUUGAAAGUAUUUUUUAGCUUUUCUUACUUCAUAAUGGAGUAAUUUCUUUUUGUUGGGAUAGUUGAUGAAGCUUGAUAUAAUUAUAAUACUAUCUCAGUUUCAAUACAUUCUUGGCCUGAAACUCUAUAUACAUUUCAUAUUGUGAUGGAAUGAUGAUUUUUUAAUCAUUAUUAUUACAUCUACAUAUUUUAUAUCUAAGUUAUUCUUAUAUUAAUUUUGUAAUUCUCACGGAGCAAAAUUAAUAUAUAAUAACUGAUGAAUAGAAUAUUAGAGUGAAAGUAAUUUUUAAUAAGAUUAUUAUUUCAAGUUUAUAAUCUUGUUUUCCUCAGUUUUUUCUCACGGAGGAAUUGUUUAAGGCAAGAUUAUUGAUUUUCUAGUAGAAAUAUUCUCACGAAGUUUUUACUACACUUAAGCACAAAAUAUUAGAGUUAAAAUAAUUUUUAGUAAGAUUAUUGUUUCAAGCCUGUAAUCUUGCUUUCUUCAGUUUUAAUUCUCACGGAGAAAUUGUUGAAGGCAAGAUUAUUGAUUUUCUAGUAAAAAUAUUCUCACGAAGUUUUUACUAUGCUUGAGCACAAUUCAAGCAAGAUUUUUCAGUUUAAUCGUCACUAGUUUUAAAUCAAAUGAUUGACAUAACCUCACGGAGUGUUAAUUAUUCAUUUAUUUCUUAGUGUAAAAAUAUAAUUGUAUUAGCAAUAAGCAAUUAUUCUUUAGAGAAAUACGUAUGAACCUGAGAUUUUAUUGUAAUGAUAUAUCAAGUGAAUUCAAUGAUUCCCAACUCUUUUUAAAUAUAAACUUUUCAGAAGAAAUUUGUCUUAAUUUAUAAUUUCAAACACACCUCUCAUCAAUUUGGUUCUCUCAAAUAGUAGUCAAAAUAUUACAAGUCUGUAGCUUAGAUUGUCCAAUCUCUGUGGGACGAUAUCAUAAACUAUACUAGAAUUUGACAGAGUGCGAGCAAAAAAUCCUAUACACAUAAGCUUCGUCAACAUGCUUAUUGAUCGAUUUACUGGAAAAUCAAAAAUAUUUAUUGGCAUCGAUGAAGAUAUUGAAUUUAAUAAUCAAACACAAUUUGAAGACCUACUACACACUUUAAAUCCUCCUGGUUUGCCCCCUUACAAAUUAUGUUUGAAAGAGAAUUGUCCAAUUAUAUUAUUGCGAAAUUUAAAUCCAUGUGAAGGUUUAUGUAAUGGCACGCGAUUGACCUGCUGUGAUUUUAAAAGCCAUGUUAUCAGCGCUAAGAUUACAACAGGUGAUUUCAAAAAUAUGCACGUGUUUAUCCCAAGAAUUCCAUUAUUAUCAUCACAGGAUGGAAAAAUGCCUGUUCAAUUUAAAAGAACGCAAUUUCCCGUUAGACUAUGCUUUGCUAUGACAAUAAAUAAAGUACAAGGCCAGACUUUAGAUUUCGUUGGAAUUUAUUUGCGGGAACCUGUAAUUUCACAUGGUCAACUUUAUGUUGCCUUAUCGAGAGCAAAGAGUUCAAAUUGUGUGAAAUUGUUGAUCCGACCGUCUAGCCAAGUAGCCAUGACGAUCAUUCUACCUCUAAUAUAGUAUACGGCAAAAUUAUUCAGAAGGCAAUCCUUUGAGUUACAGGUUGUGAUGUUUUUUCUUUGUAUUCUCCUAUAUCCUCUUUCUCAUUGUUGCUUUGUAUAGAUAAAGUAUCAGACAUGCUAAUGCAAUUAUUUUCUUCGUGAAUUGUGAUUUUCUAUUCACUGGUAAUGAGCAUGGUAUAGCCAAACCUUUUAUUAUGUAUCUGCUUUUUUACGUUUAGUUUGAUGAUAUUCCCCCUCCAGUGGAUUAAUGUAAAAAAUAUGCUAAUGUAUUCCUCCUCAUAGAAUAGUCCAAUCUCUCAUUAAGUAGUUUCGAUGUGUUAGAUCUUUUUAGACUUAGUUAUAUUUCAAAUUGGAUCCCUUCUUGGUGCUUUUACUUUGUCUUCCACAUUUUCUCCGAGCAAGUAAAUAAUAUUUUCAUAACCUUUGGUGGCUCAAAUUGGCUUCGGAACCUUAUAAUUUAUAUUUGCAGGUUAACGCUGUCCUGGUAGGAAAUUGCAACUAUUUUCAUGAUCAAAAAGUUUUCACCACAACUAUUUAGCUCAUAGAAGUGCGUUUAUUUUUACAGGCAAAAUGUUCCAUGGAUCACAAGUCAUGGAGGUUUCAUGGCAUAUUGACGAUGCAUUGUUACGAGAACGGUCAAGUUGUAGAUUGUGUUUGGAUUGACAAAUUAAGGGAAAUUUUGCUACAUCCAUAUCAAAUAUCACCUAGGUGGCCUUGAAGAUUUUGUUGCGGAAGAAGAGAAGCCAAAGGUACAUCAUAUAGAUUCAGGGGAGACUUUUUUAGAGAAAAUAGCAUAGACAAUAAAGUCCGCUCACCAAGAUUAUACUUACUAUCAAGGAGGAAGUAAAGAAAAUCUCGAGUGUAAAGGUUGGAAAUCCAGAGAUGAUAAGAGUAAAAGUAGCAGGCUAGGUGGCCUCUUUCAGAAAGUAGACUCCACUCUUCACAUGGUCAACAG